GACGAACGCUGGCGGCGUGCCUAAUACAUGCAAGUUGAGCGAUGAAGAUUGGUGCUUGCACCAAUUUGAAGAGCAGCGAACGGGUGAGUAACGCGUGGGUAAUCUGCCUUUGAGCGGGAGACAACAUUUGGAAACGAAUGCUAAUACCGCAUAACAACUUUAAACAUAAGUUUUAAGUUUGAAAGAUGCAAUUGCAUCACUCAAAGAUGAUCCCGCGUUGUAUUAGCUAGUUGGUGAGGUAAAGGCUCACCAAGGCGAUGAUACAUAGCCGACCUGAGAGGGUGAUCGGCCACAUUGGGACUGAGACACGGCCCAAACUCCUACGGGAGGCAGCAGUAGGGAAUCUUCGGCAAUGGACGAAAGUCUGACCGAGCAACGCCGCGUGAGUGAAGAAGGUUUUCGGAUCGUAAAACUCUGUUGGUAGAGAAGAACGUUGGUGAGAGUGGAAAGCUCAUCAAGUGACGGUAACUACCCAGAAAGGGACGGCUAACUACGUG
Molecule: ribosomal RNA, 497 nt
Filed under: uncultured bacterium
Lineage: Bacteria
Description: partial 16S ribosomal RNA
Rfam family: Bacterial small subunit ribosomal RNA
Source: RNAcentral